Molecule: ribosomal RNA, 538 nt
Filed under: uncultured bacterium
Lineage: Bacteria
Description: bacterial SSU rRNA
Rfam family: Bacterial small subunit ribosomal RNA
Source: RNAcentral
UAGAGUUUGAUCCUGGCUCAGAACGAACGCUGGCGGCGUGCUUAACACAUGCAAGUCGAACGGGAUCCAGAGCUUGCUCUGGUGAGAGUGGCGCACGGGUGAGUAACGCGUGGAUAACCUGCCCUGGUAUCUGGAAUAACAUCUCGAAAGGGGUGCUAAUACCGGAUAAGCUUACGGUUCCCUCGGGAGCUGUGAGAAAAGGUGGCCUCUGAAUAUGCUACCGUAUCAGGAUGGGUCCGCGUACCAUUAGCUAGUUGGUGGGGUAAUGGCCUACCAAGGCGACGAUGGUUAGCUGGUCUGAGAGGAUGAUCAGCCACACUGGAACUGAGACACGGUCCAGACUCCUACGGGAGGCAGCAGUGGGGAAUUUUGCGCAAUGGGGGAAACCCUGACGCAGCAACGCCGCGUGAGUGAUGAAGGCUUUCGGGUCGUAAAGCUCUGUCAGUAGGGAAGAAAUGAGCCUGGCUAAUAUCCAGGUUUCUUGACGGUACCUACAAAGGAAGCACCGGCUAACUCCGUGCCAGCAGCCGCGGUAAUA